This 403-nucleotide ribosomal RNA is filed under the name uncultured bacterium. RNAcentral's name for it is "bacterial SSU rRNA". It matches the Rfam family "Bacterial small subunit ribosomal RNA", at positions 362 to 757 of the family's 1533-position model. The record is from RNAcentral.
UAUUGGACAAUGGGGGGAACCCUGAUCCAGCCAUGCCGCGUGUGUGAAGAAGGCCUUAUGGUUGUAAAGCACUUUAAGCGAGGAGGAGGGUACUGGUAUUAAUACUACCAGGUACUGGACGUUACUCGCAGAAUAAGCACCGGCUAACUCUGUGCCAGCAGCCGCGGUAAUACAGAGGGUGCGAGCGUUAAUCGGAUUUACUGGGCGUAAAGCGUGCGUAGGCGGCUAAUUGAGUCGGAUGUGAAAUCCCCGAGCUUAACUUGGGAAUUGCAUUCGAUACUGGUUAGCUAGAGUGUGGGAGAGGAUGGUAGAAUUCCAGGUGUAGCGGUGAAAUGCGUAGAGAUCUGGAGGAAUACCGAUGGCGAAGGCAGCCAUCUGGCCUAACACUGACGCUGAGUACGAA